UCCCCUCACCAAGAUGGUGUUUCUGAGAGAGGAAUCCACACAAUAAUGACACGCGCUAGGGCAGUGCUUAUAGACAUGGAUAUACCAAAGAAGUUCUGGGCAGAUGUUCUCAAAACAGUGGUUGCAAUUACCAACAACACACUGACAUCUACCACUCUAUAUAAUGAGAAAUACUGGCCUAUCAACACCGAAGAAGCACCUAUAUGAUGCCUCUAUACCAUCCCAUUCUCAGCACUAAUCAAUGCCCUGCCCCAACUUCGCCAUUUUAGGGAGCUAGGUGUUGAUGUUUAUGUGCAUCUUCAUGAAUCUCAAAAACCUACUGAUAAGCUGUCUGCUAGGGCAGAAAUUUUUAAACUUAUAGAAUUCUGUGGUAACUCAAUCUACUGUCUCUGAAGUUCUAUAACUGAUAAAAUAAUUGUCAUCAGUGAUGUUGUUUUCUCUGCAAAGGAAUCUACAACUCUGCAGAUUGAUACUAAUUAUAUGAUAUCUGAAGCUGCAAGUUCAGCAACUUAUCUUGUUGACAAUGCUGCUGUUUCUGAAUUAGCCAACACCAAAUGAGUAAGAUCAGUGAAAGUGUUCAUCAUCUACAUCCCUUCUCCCCUCAUUGGUUCUGUUCUGAAAGAAUAUAAGAAUGCUGUUAGUAGACAUGGAGGGGUUGGUGAAUAUUGGCAAAAGUUGAUGAAAUGUGAGAUUGCAGAUUUGGAAUAAAGAAAUAUUUGAACAAUGGUCCCACAUUCUGACAUCUCUUCUGAUGAGCCAGUGGCCCCCAGCCACUGAGUUUAUGUUGAAAAAGAUUGCCCUCAGAACCCCAAUGUGGAUUCUGAUGAUAUAUUACAAAAAUCUCAAUGGAUAGUGUGCAGC
RNAcentral lists this small RNA (861 nucleotides) under Histoplasma capsulatum. RNAcentral's name for it is "hypothetical RNA". Lineage: Eukaryota; Fungi; Ascomycota; Eurotiomycetes; Onygenales; Ajellomycetaceae. RNAcentral also lists the same sequence under 1 other name. The record is from RNAcentral.